RNAcentral lists this long non-coding RNA (838 nucleotides) under Salvia miltiorrhiza (redroot sage). Its description in RNAcentral is "long non-coding RNA (SMIL_LNC004621)". The record is from RNAcentral. Lineage: Eukaryota; Viridiplantae; Streptophyta; Magnoliopsida; Lamiales; Lamiaceae.
AAACGGGGAGGCUCAUAGUUUCUCUUGCAGCGGCAGUGGGUUGAUACAAAUUGUACAUGCCUACCAAAUGAAGUUGUUGUAUUCCUCCUUAAUAUUGAUUUCUUUCAAGCUAAUUAAUUCGGGUUUAUCUCCUACCUUUAGCUAUUAAGACCUGCAUAUAUUUAUUUUUAGAUCCUCUUGAUAAGAUAGUAAGUUUAUCAAUCAAUAUGCAGAAGCCAUGAAGUGGAGUCACAUAACACGGACUGUUAACCUAGUACUAUGCUAACUGUCGAGGUAUGUUUGUCCCAAAAUUGUCUACAAAAUCUCUUACUAGGUUUAUUAAUCAAUUAUUCUUUUCAUAUUAGGUAUGUAUGUAUAUAUCGUUCUAGGUUUUUGUUCUUUAUGCAGGAGCAUGAUCCUUUAAUGAGUUGCUGAAAAAAAGACUAUCUGGAUGUAUAUUUAGCUGGUCAUUUCUAUAUUAAUAUGCUUAUUUAUGUUGGAUUUUUGAACAAAGUCUUGAGAAUAGACUCGUGGCAGUGAAUCUUCGGUUAGUGUUUAUGAAUUAUGUCGAAUCUUUGAAAAAAAGACCAGUUUGAGAAUAUUGUUGGGAUUUUGUGUUUGUUUUAUGGAGUAUUACAUGUUAGUAAUAACUAGUACGUUCAUCUGUGCGGUUCAUGACGAAUAUAGAUAUUAAAUAUGUUUAAAUAAAUAAAUAUAAAUAUUGAAUCGAAUCCAAAUAUAAACAAAUAUAAAAUAAUAUUUUAAUACAUAGAUAUAUAUUUUCAUACCCAAAGGCAAAUAAAAGGUAGUAAAUAAUUAAUGAAGAGAGAAAACAAUAAAAUAUUUUAAAUUUUAAAAA